AUUGAACGCUGGCGGCAUGCUUUACACAUGCAAGUCGAACGGUAACAGGCCGCAAGGUGCUGACGAGUGGCGAACGGGUGAGUAAUGCAUCGGAACGUGCCCAGUCGUGGGGGAUAACUACUCGAAAGAGUAGCUAAUACCGCAUACGAUCUAUGGAUGAAAGCGGGGGACCGUAAGGCCUCGCGCGAUUGAGCGGCCGAUGUCAGAUUAGGUAGUUGGUGGGGUAAAGGCUCACCAAGCCAACGAUCUGUAGCUGGUCUGAGAGGACGACCAGCCACACUGGGACUGGGACACGGCCCAGACUCCUACGGGAGGCAGCAGUGGGGAAUUUUGGACAAUGGGCGCAAGCCUGAUCCAGCAAUGCCGCGUGCAGGAAGAAGGCCUUCGGGUUGUAAACUGCUUUUGUACGGAACGAAACGGCUCUGGUUAAUACCCGGGGCUAAUGACGGUACCGUAAGAAUAAGCACCGGCUAACUACGUG
Molecule: ribosomal RNA, 481 nt
Filed under: uncultured bacterium
Lineage: Bacteria
Description: partial 16S ribosomal RNA
Rfam family: Bacterial small subunit ribosomal RNA
Source: RNAcentral